RNAcentral lists this non-coding RNA (148 nucleotides) under Nomascus leucogenys (northern white-cheeked gibbon). The record is from Rfam by way of RNAcentral. Lineage: Eukaryota; Metazoa; Chordata; Mammalia; Primates; Hylobatidae.
GCUGGGUGUGGUGGUGCAUGCCUGUGAUCCCAGCUACUCGGGAGGCUGAGGCAGGAGAAUUGCUUGAACCUAGGAGGCAGAGGUUGCGGUGAGCUGAGAUCACACCACUGCACUCUAGCCUGGGUGACAGAGCAAGACUUUGCCUCAA